Molecule: ribosomal RNA, 253 nt
Filed under: uncultured bacterium
Lineage: Bacteria
Description: partial 16S ribosomal RNA
Rfam family: Bacterial small subunit ribosomal RNA
Source: RNAcentral
UAGGGAGGGGGCUAGCGUUGUUCGGAAUUACUGGGCGUAAAGCGCGCGUAGGCGGACUUUUAAGUCGGGGGUGAAAUCCCGGGGCUCAACCCCGGAACUGCCUUCGAUACUGGGAGUCUGGAGUUCGAGAGAGGUGAGUGGAAUUCCGAGUGUAGAGGUGAAAUUCGUAGAUAUUCGGAGGAACACCAGUGGCGAAGGCGGCUCACUGGCUCGAUACUGACGCUAAGACGCGACAGCGUGGGGAGCAAACAGG